CCUACGGGAGGCAGCAGUGGGGAAUAUUGGACAAUGGGCGCAAGCCUGAUCCAGCAAUGCCGCGUGAGUGAUGAAGGCCUUAGGGUCGUAAAGCUCUUUUACCAGGGAUGAUAAUGACAGUACCUGGAGAAUAAGCUCCGGCUAACUCCGUGCCAGCAGCCGCGGUAAUACGGAGGGAGCUAGCGUUGUUCGGAAUUACUGGGCGUAAAGCGUACGUAGGCGGUUAUUCAAGUCAGAGGUGAAAGCCCGGGGCUCAACCCCGGAACGGCCUUUGAAACUAGGUAGCUAGAAUCUUGGAGAGGUCAGUGGAAUUCCGAGUGUAGAGGUGAAAUUCGUAGAUAUUCGGAAGAACACCAGUGGCGAAGGCGACUGACUGGACAAGUAUUGACGCUGAGGUACGAAAGCGUGGGGAGCAAACAGGAUUAGAUACCCUGGUAGUCCACGCCGUAAACGAUGAUAACUAGCUGUCCGGGCACUUGGUGCCUGGGUGGCGCAGCUAACGCAUUAAGUUAUCCGCCUGGGGAGUACGGUCGCAAGAUUAAAACUCAAAGAUAGUACGGACGUGAGACGAGUCGACGAGACACAGGAGUAGGAG
This 595-nucleotide ribosomal RNA is filed under the name uncultured bacterium. Its description in RNAcentral is "bacterial SSU rRNA". It matches the Rfam family "Bacterial small subunit ribosomal RNA", at positions 338 to 1416 of the family's 1533-position model. The record is from RNAcentral.